UACGAAGGUGGCAAGCGUUGUUCGGAUUUACUGGGCGUACAGGGAGCGUAGGCGGUUGGAUAAGCCCUCCGUGAAAUCUCCAGGCUUAACCUGGAAAGUGCAGAGGGGACUGUUCAGCUAGAGGAUGGGAGAGGAGCGCGGAAUUCCCAGUGUAGCGGUGAAAUGCGUAGAUAUUGGGAGGAACACCAGUGGCGAAGGCGGCUCACUGGACCGGUACUGACGCUGAGGCGCGAAAGCGUGGGGAGCAAACAGG
This 253-nucleotide ribosomal RNA is filed under the name uncultured bacterium. RNAcentral's name for it is "partial 16S ribosomal RNA". It matches the Rfam family "Bacterial small subunit ribosomal RNA", at positions 524 to 776 of the family's 1533-position model. The record is from RNAcentral.